Molecule: ribosomal RNA, 253 nt
Filed under: uncultured bacterium
Lineage: Bacteria
Description: partial 16S ribosomal RNA
Rfam family: Bacterial small subunit ribosomal RNA
Source: RNAcentral
UACGUAGGGUGCGAGCGUUAAUCGGAAUUACUGGGCGUAAAGCGCACGUAGGCGGAUAUUUAAGUCAGGGGUGAAAUCCCGGGGCUCAACCCCGGAACUGCCUUUGAUACUGGGUAUCUCGAGUCCGAGAGAGGUGAGUGGAAUUCCGAGUGUAGAGGUGAAAUUCGUAGAUAUUCGGAAGAACACCAGUGGCGAAGGCGGCUCACUGGACUGGUAUUGACGCUGAGGUGCGAAAGCGUGGGGAGCAAACAGG